This 405-nucleotide ribosomal RNA is filed under the name uncultured bacterium. RNAcentral's name for it is "bacterial SSU rRNA". It matches the Rfam family "Bacterial small subunit ribosomal RNA", at positions 29 to 479 of the family's 1533-position model. The record is from RNAcentral.
AGCGAACGCUGGCGGCAGGCCUAAUACAUGCAAGUCGAACGGAUCCUUCGGGAUUAGUGGCGGACGGGUGAGUAACACGUGGGAACGUGCCCUUUGGUUCGGAACAACUCAGGGAAACUUGAGCUAAUACCGGAUAAGCCCUUCGGGGAAGGAUUAUCGCCAUUGGAGCGGCCCGCGUCUGAUUAGCUAGUUGGUGGGGUAAAGGCCGUACCAAGGCGACGAUCAGUAGCUGGUCUGAGAGGANGAUCAGCCACACUGGGACUGAGACACGGCCCAGACUCCUACGGGAGGCAGCAGUGGGGAAUCUUGGACAAUGGGCGGCAAGCCUGAUCCAGCCAUGCCGCGUGAGUGACGAAGGUCUUCGGAUUGUAAAGCUCUUUUGCCAGGGACGAUAAUGACGGUACC